AAUUUUUGGCAAUGGAUCACUUGGCUCUCGCAUCGAUGAAGAACGCAGCGAAAUGCGAUAAGUAAUGUGAAUUGCAGAAUUCAGUGAAUCAUCGAAUCUUUGAACGCACCUUGCACCCUUUGGCAUUCCGAAGGGUAUGCUCGUUUGAGUGUCAUUGUACUCUCAUGCUCCCGAUGCUUUUGGAUCGGGAGUGGUGGACUUGGGUGUUGCUGCUUUACUGUGGCUCACCUCAAAUGGAGUAGUGCAACUCUUGGUUGGACAUAGUACGGCGUGAUAAGUGUCUUCGCCGGCGCCUCAUUAGAGGGUGGCCGAUCGGGAGCUCUGUGCUUCAAACCGUCUUCGGACAACAUCUGACAACUUGACCUCAAAUCGAGUAGGACUACCCGCUGAACUUAAGCAUAUCAAUAAGCGGAGGCU
RNAcentral lists this unclassified non-coding RNA (417 nucleotides) under uncultured Sebacina. RNAcentral describes it as "sequence contains ITS2". The stretch from base 1 to 154 matches the Rfam family "5.8S ribosomal RNA". Lineage: Eukaryota; Fungi; Basidiomycota; Agaricomycetes; Sebacinales; Sebacinaceae. The record is from RNAcentral.